RNAcentral lists this ribosomal RNA (826 nucleotides) under Mycobacterium sp. Its description in RNAcentral is "bacterial SSU rRNA". It matches the Rfam family "Bacterial small subunit ribosomal RNA", at positions 107 to 928 of the family's 1533-position model. Lineage: Bacteria; Bacillati; Actinomycetota; Actinomycetes; Mycobacteriales; Mycobacteriaceae. The record is from RNAcentral.
UGAGUAACACGUGGGCAAUCUGCCCUGCACUUCGGGAUAAGCCUGGGAAACUGGGUCUAAUACCGGAUAGGACCUUUAGACGCAUGUCUUUUGGUGGAAAGCUUUUGCGGUGUGGGAUGGGCCCGCGGCCUAUCAGCUUGUUGGUGGGGUGAUGGCCUACCAAGGCGACGACGGGUAGCCGGCCUGAGAGGGUGUCCGGCCACACUGGGACUGAGAUACGGCCCAGACUCCUACGGGAGGCAGCAGUGGGGAAUAUUGCACAAUGGGCGCAAGCCUGAUGCAGCGACGCCGCGUGGGGGAUGACGGCCUUCGGGUUGUAAACCUCUUUCACCAUCGACGAAGGUCCGGGUUUUCUCGGAUUGACGGUAGGUGGAGAAGAAGCACCGGCCAACUACGUGCCAGCAGCCGCGGUAAUACGUAGGGUGCGAGCGUUGUCCGGAAUUACUGGGCGUAAAGAGCUCGUAGGUGGUUUGUCGCGUUGUUCGUGAAAUCUCACGGCUUAACUGUGAGCGUGCGGGCGAUACGGGCAGACUAGAGUACUGCAGGGGAGACUGGAAUUCCUGGUGUAGCGGUGGAAUGCGCAGAUAUCAGGAGGAACACCGGUGGCGAAGGCGGGUCUCUGGGCAGUAACUGACGCUGAGGAGCGAAAGCGUGGGGAGCGAACAGGAUUAGAUACCCUGGUAGUCCACGCCGUAAACGGUGGGUACUAGGUGUGGGUUUCCUUCCUUGGGAUCCGUGCCGUAGCUAACGCAUUUAAGUACCCCCGCCUGGGGGAGUACGGCCGCAAGGCUAAAACUCAAAGGAAUUUGACGGGGGGCCCGCACAA